This is a non-coding RNA of Gossypium hirsutum (cotton), 145 nucleotides long. Lineage: Eukaryota; Viridiplantae; Streptophyta; Magnoliopsida; Malvales; Malvaceae. The record is from Rfam.
UAUUAAAAAUUUUAUCUUUUUGUACUGUUAAAAAUUGACAUGGCUGAUAGAAUAAUUAUAUAGUGAUAUGUGGUGUGCCACGUGUACUUUAUGCUUAUGUACAAUGGUCAGUUUUUAACAAUAGAAAUGGAUUUAAUUUUUAAGC